Molecule: ribosomal RNA, 43 nt
Filed under: Hammondia heydorni
Lineage: Eukaryota; Apicomplexa; Conoidasida; Eucoccidiorida; Sarcocystidae
Also listed under: 9 other names
Description: partial 18S ribosomal RNA
Rfam family: Eukaryotic small subunit ribosomal RNA
Source: RNAcentral
UCGUAACAAGGUUUCCGUAGGUGAACCUGCGGAAGGAUCAUUC